AUUGAACGCUGGCGGCAGGCCUAACACAUGCAAGUCGAGCGAGCGGCGGACGGGUGAGUAAUGUGUGGGGAUCUGCCCGAUAGAGGGGGAUCACUACUGGAAACGGUGGCUAAUACCGCAUCCUCUCGGGUGAACACAUAUGGGAUUAGCUGGGCGGUGGGGUAAAGGCUCACCUAGGCGACGAUCUCUAGCUGGUCUGAGAGGAAGAACAGCCACACUGGAACUGAGACACGGUCCAGACUCCUACGGGAGGCAGCAGUGGGGAAUAUUGGACAAUGGGCGAAAGCCUGAUCCAGCCAUGCCGCGGGUGUGAAGAAGGCCUUCGGAUUGUAAAGUACUUUCAGCGGGGAGGCGUUACCAGCAGAAGAAGCACCGGCUAACUCCGUGCCAGCAGCCGCGGUAAUAC
Molecule: ribosomal RNA, 406 nt
Filed under: uncultured bacterium
Lineage: Bacteria
Description: partial 16S ribosomal RNA
Rfam family: Bacterial small subunit ribosomal RNA
Source: RNAcentral